GAUGAACGCUAGCUACAGGCUUAACACAUGCAAGUCGAGGGGCAGCGGGAUUGAAGCUUGCUUCAAUUGCCGGCGACCGGCGCACGGGUGAGUAACGCGUAUCCAACCUUCCGUACACUCAGGGAUAGCCUUUCGAAAGAAAGAUUAAUACCUGAUGGUAUCUUAAGCACACAUGUAAUUAAGAUUAAAGAUUUAUCGGUGUACGAUGGGGAUGCGUUCCAUUAGGUAGUAGGCGGGGUAACGGCCCACCUAGCCAACGAUGGAUAGGGGUUCUGAGAGGAAGGUCCCCCACAUUGGAACUGAGACACGGUCCAAACUCCUACGGGAGGCAGCAGUGAGGAAUAUUGGUCAAUGGACGAGAGUCUGAACCAGCCAAGUAGCGUGAAGGAUGAAGGUCCUACGGAUUGUAAACUUCUUUUAUACGGGAAUAAAGUAUCCUACGUGUAGGAUUUUGUAUGUACCGUAUGAAUAAGCAUCGGCUAACUCCGUGCCAGCAG
RNAcentral lists this ribosomal RNA (497 nucleotides) under uncultured bacterium. Its description in RNAcentral is "bacterial SSU rRNA". It matches the Rfam family "Bacterial small subunit ribosomal RNA", at positions 28 to 514 of the family's 1533-position model. The record is from RNAcentral.